Planococcus citri (citrus mealybug) is the source of this 2216-nucleotide long non-coding RNA. RefSeq lists it as uncharacterized. Lineage: Eukaryota; Metazoa; Arthropoda; Insecta; Hemiptera; Pseudococcidae. The record is from RefSeq and is a predicted model, not a curated record. The transcript is spliced from 12 exons.
GCAGACUUCAGAUCCAAAUCAUCAUCAGCCAUUGACUAUUGACUGACUCAGCGUUCGUGUCAAAGAAGUCGUACCCGCCGGAAUCAUCACCGGAAAAGACUACGUUCAACGUUGUUGAAUUGAAUUUACAAAAAUUUUACCCUCCAUUUGAAUAGUAUUACAAACUGCAUCGACACAUUCGGCGAUAGAUGGCUCGCUUUGAUCGAUACUGUAGUCAUAGCCGGCGAUACGAGAUAAGGUCAUAAUAUAGGAACAGGCGAUUCGCAGUACCGAAAGCUUGGAAAGUUUCUGAUUAUUUGCAUAAGCUGGAACGCACUUACGUAGAGUUUCGAAUGCAGCGCUGAUGGUGUGUACUCUGGUACGUUCGCGUGCAUUGGCUUCUAUUCUUCUUUCGCGGGUCAUAUUUUUAUAAUUCCUUUGGGAACUAUUCGAUUGACUAGAUUUGCGUUUCUCUUCAGAACUAACGGUCGACGAUGAGCUGGUAAAUCUGCGAAGGGAAAAGUUGGUGUAAAUGAGACGUUAACAAUAUGCCCAGUGAAAGGCUCGAAUAUUAUCGAAAAGUUUGAAAAAUAUUACGAGUUGGAGAUUCUGAAACCAAAUUGGACGAAUUCUGCAUCAUCACCGCUCACUGCACUUCGAAAAAUUGGCUGGGCAGUGACUACGCACAAUCCAUCCAUACGCAUAAAACAAUUCCCAGCUCGUUGCGACUCUUCCGGCGGCGUUCGGUUUCGUUAUCACGAAGUAAUUUUGCGACGACGACUGUCGACUUUGUGCUGCCUCUGCGAGAUUGUAUAUUUUCGCAAUCAAACGUACCUUCUCUCGCAUCAUUCUUCGGUUACCGUAUCGUUGACGAAUACGAAUCAUACAUAUACUUAUCUGGUUAUCUACGCAUUCAUCGUAUACGACAGAGUUGGUCUAUUAAUAGUCUAAUGUACCUACUAUGGGAACAUACCGAUGAAAUUUUAUACGUAGACAUUGGCAGGUAUAAUUUCAGCAUACAGCUCGUGAACUUUUCAUUUUUUUACAAGACGAAUACCUGGUUUCUAGGUGGAAAAAACGUAUACUUACUGACUAAGCCUGUAUAACGUAAUUCAACAGCAAGCAUAUAGAAAAUAGAAUAAGAAGAAUGAGCCGAGCUGUCAAUGCGAAUUUACGUUAUUGCAUCUAGUAGAGAAUAUUCGGAGCGGAACGAAAUGCAAGUAAUGGAGAUGGCGAUGGACGAUGCAGUGAUUUUGAUAUUUCAUCGAUUAGCGGAAGAGCAAAUAAUGAGAUUUUUUUCCAUCGUCGAAAUUUUACGUCCACUAGUCGAAAAAAACGCUGUGCUGAUUGAAUUUCGCUGUUUGAAUUUUCGAGGAAUUAUCGGAGAAUUUUUGUAGCUGAGACGAUUUUAAGCAGAGGUCUUCGAUUUUCAGAGGAAUCGAUGAAGACCAACGAACUGAUGAUCUGCGCAUUCCAUAAAGAGUACCUUAUGCAAAUGUAUGUUGGAUGUGGAAUAUUGAGGAGUCCAUCGUCGUAAGACUCGUACUUGUGCAGUUAUGCGUUAUGAAGCUGAUUAAAAUGAAACAGGAUUGCGGAUAGGGGAUGUUGAAUAUGGACGAGUAGCAGGUUGAUGGUUCAAAUUAACAGAAAGUAAUUACUGGUAGGAUUUGUAGCCUGCUUUCGGUCUCCAGAUGUUUAGUGUAAUCUUCAACAGAACAUACCUCUACGUACUACACGUUCUUCGGAUGGAUGCGCGAAAUUUAGUUGGAUACUUUCGUGAUGGGGCUGAUAUUAUUCUGUGUGGACGAGAAUAAAAUAGAUGAAUAAUUAAUGAAACUAAUUUUAUAAUAUUUAAGUAGAUACGUGCCUAUUGUUUUUUUUUGCAACUUUUUGGUAAAUUGUAUUUUUUAAAUUUUGUUUAAAUUUUUUUUGAAUUUGUGUGUAUUUUUCAAAAAAAAAUUAUUCGUGAUUAAUUCUGAGUGUUUUCUUAAUACGUAUUUUACCAUUUUUAAAAAUGUUGUUGUUCUACUUGAUGUAUCAUUACGUGCAGUUUUCCUUUAAUUCUUUUUUAUUUCUUUGUUUAUUUUAUUAGCGAGUUCGUCGUUGUUAUUUAUGUAGGUGUCUAAAUUAUAUUUUACUUAUUACCUGAUAAAUAAUUAUUCAGAAUAUCCUAAUUUUUGUGUUUUUCAAAAUGUCUAAUCGAAUGUAUUUUUUUAAAUUAAUAAAAUAUCAAUCAA